This 684-nucleotide ribosomal RNA is filed under the name uncultured bacterium. RNAcentral describes it as "bacterial SSU rRNA". It matches the Rfam family "Bacterial small subunit ribosomal RNA", at positions 552 to 1235 of the family's 1533-position model. The record is from RNAcentral.
UAUUGGGCGUAAAGAGCUCGUAGGCGGUUCGAUAAGUCGGGUGUUAAACCCCCAGGCUCAACCUGGGGCCGCCACCCGAAACUAUCGUGACUAGAGUUUGGUAGGGGAUCACGGAAUUCCUGGUGUAGCGGUGGAAUGCGCAGAUAUCAGGAGGAACACCAGUAGCGAAGGCGGUGAUCUGGGCCAAUACUGACGCUGAGGAGCGAAAGCGUGGGGAGCGAACAGGAUUAGAUACCCUGGUAGUCCACGCCGUAAACGGUGGGCACUAGGUGUGGGGACUUUUCAACGGUUUCCGCGCCGCAGCUAACGCAUUAAGUGCCCCGCCUGGGGAGUACGGCCGCAAGGCUAAAACUCAAAGAAAUUGACGGGGGCCCGCACAAGCAGCGGAGCAUGUGGCUUAAUUCGAUGCAACGCGAAAAACCUUACCUAGAUUUGACAUGCUGGGAAAAGCCGUAGAGAUACGGUGUCCUUCGGGGCUCAGCACAGGUGGUGCAUGGCUGUCGCCAGCUCGUGUCGUGAGAUGUUGGGUUAAGUCCCGCAACGAGCGCAACCCUUGUUCUAUGUUGCCAGCACGUAAUGGUGGGGACUCGUAGAAGACUGCCGGGGCCAACUCGGAGGAAGGUGGGGACGACGUCAAGUCAUCAUGCCCCUUACGUCUAGGGCUGCACACAUGCUACAAUGGGC